Molecule: long non-coding RNA, 376 nt
Organism: Pecten maximus
Lineage: Eukaryota; Metazoa; Mollusca; Bivalvia; Pectinida; Pectinidae
Exons: 3
Source: RefSeq, a predicted model, not a curated record
UUUACAUUUCAGAAGAAGACGUUGAUGUUCUAUCUCUGGAUGAAAAGGAAAUGGUUUCAUUUACCAUGGAUCAGCUGCAGUCAAUACUAACUCAUGCCAAGGAUAUGCGGAAAAAGUCAACACCUGAUGAGAAAGAUGAAGCUGCAGGGACCAUGGGUGACAUAGAGGGGAAGAGCACGCCUUCGCCAUCUUUCGAGGACAUUUAGAGCAAGUUAUGAUGGUUUAUCUAAAACAUUUUAAACAAUCAAUUUAAGCGAUAUGCUUUGUAACAACUGAAUACUGAACACAAUUGCUGUUUUAUGAUGAUCUUUCUCAUAGACGAAUGAUAAUGUAUGUUUAACUUUAAAUAUGAUAUUUACUUUCCUUUUUAGUCAUA